ACUUAAAUAGCUUAUAGUUAGAGCGUAACACUGAAGAUGUUAAGGAGAUGUUUGUCUUUGAGUA
Molecule: transfer RNA, 64 nt
Filed under: Habrophlebiodes zijinensis
Lineage: Eukaryota; Metazoa; Arthropoda; Insecta; Ephemeroptera; Leptophlebiidae
Description: tRNA-Phe
Rfam family: tRNA
About the family: Transfer RNA (tRNA) molecules are approximately 80 nucleotides in length.
Source: RNAcentral